GUUAGGAAUAUUGGACAAUGGGCGAAAGCCUGAUCCAGCCAUGCCGCGUGAACGAUGAAGGCCUUCGGGUUGUAAAGUUCUUUAGCCGAUGAUUAUAAUGACUGUAGUCGGAAAAUAAGCCCCGGCUAACUUCGUGCCAGCAGCCGCGGUAAUACGAAGGGGGCGAGCGUUAUUCGGAAUCACUGGGCGUAAAGCGUGCGUAGGCGGUUUUGUAAGUUAGGAGUUAAAGACCAGGUCUCAACCUUGGAAUUGAUCUUAAAACUGCAAUGCUCUAAUCUCGGAGAGGAUAGCGGAAUUUCCAGUGUAGCAGUGAAAUGCGUAGAUAUUGGAAGGAACACCAGUGGCGUAAGCGGCUAUCUGGACGAGUAUUGACGCUGAGGCACGAAAGCGCGGGGAUCAAACAGGAUUAGAAACCCCGGUAGUCC
RNAcentral lists this ribosomal RNA (425 nucleotides) under uncultured bacterium. Its description in RNAcentral is "partial 16S ribosomal RNA". It matches the Rfam family "Bacterial small subunit ribosomal RNA", at positions 354 to 796 of the family's 1533-position model. The record is from RNAcentral.